UCUGGUUAAACAUUAGUUCUGGGCAUAUCUGUGAGGGUGUUCCCAGAAGAGAUUAGCAUUUAAAUCAGCAGACUGAGUAAAGCAGAUUGCCCUCCCCAGUGUGGUUGGGUAUCAUCCAACCUGUUGAGGCCUGAGUAGAACAAAAAGGCAGAGGGCAGGUGAAUUCGCUCUCUGUGACUUGCUCCUGAGCUGGGAAAUUCAUCUUCUCCUUCCCUCAACUGGGACUUGCACCAUAGGCUUUCCUGGUUCUCAGGCCUUCAGACUCAGAUUGGAACUUACACCAUUAGCCCUCCAGUUCUCAGGCCUUUGGACUCAGAAUGGAACAACACCAUUGGCGUUCGCGGGUCUGCAGCUUGCAGACAGUGGAUCAUGGGAUGUCUCAGCUUCUGUAAUCAUGAUGGUGACAGCCUGUUGGCGCUGCCUGCAUACUCCAGCGUGGAUGCCACAUCUCCUUCCAGGGCUUAAUCAAAGCCAUUACUCGAGUAGAAUCUUGAAAUUUUCAGAAAGAGGCCCUGUUUAAAUGGAAACAAUGUCCUGGGGAGAUCCACUUUUACCUUCUUCUAAGGUGUGGCUCUGGGCACUCUAAGGAGUGGGUCGCAAGAGCAUUAGGACAUUUCACCCUUUCGGCCUUUGUACACGGAGCCAGAAGAUGCUCAGCACUCGAGUUCCGCACCUUGGAAAUGACCUUGCUCUGAACCUACGCUCCAUCUGACCUCCUAGGCACGUAAUUGGCCUCUGAGCCCUCUUUUGCUUAUCUAGAAAA
Diceros bicornis minor is the source of this 763-nucleotide long non-coding RNA. RefSeq lists it as uncharacterized. The transcript has 3 exons. NCBI's taxonomy places the organism in Eukaryota, Metazoa, Chordata, Mammalia, Perissodactyla, Rhinocerotidae. The record is from RefSeq and is a predicted model, not a curated record.